UCAAGCUACUAAGGGCACAUGGGGAAUGCCUUGGCGCCAGAAGCCGAAGAAGGACGUAGCAAGACUGCGAUAAGCCCCGAUUAGCUGCCUAGCGAGCUUACUCGGGGAUUUCCGAAUGAGGGAACUCAUCUACUUCGGUAGUUGCCCUAGUCGUGAGACUUGGGCGGUAAGCAGGGGAACUGAAACAUCUAAGUACCCUGAGGAAAGUAAAUCAACCGAGACUCCCCUAGUAGCGGCGAGCGAACGGGGAUCAGCCCAAACCACAUGAGCCUAACGGACUGGAGUCCUAUGCCUUUGUGGUGUUGUAGGGCCAGACAUGAGACCUCUCCAGAGGUCCCGAAGAGUUACAAAAUAUACAUCUAAUCGAACAGUCCUGGAACGGCUGGCCGUAGCGGGUGAAAGCCCCUUAGAUGAAAGGUGUGUAUCUCUUAGUUUGGUUCCUGAGUACGACGGGACACGUGAAAUCUUGUCGGAAUCUGGGGGGACCACCCUCCAAGGCUAAGUACUUUUGGCGACCGAUAGUGAACAAGUACCGUGAGGGAAAGGUGAAAAGCACCCCGUGAGGGGAGUGAAAUAGAACUGAAACCAUGUGCCUACAAACCGUAGGAGUUCCAAUUCGUUGGAAUGACUGCGUGCCUAUUGAAGAAUGAGCCAACGAGUUACGUUACGUGGCAGGUUAAGGCGUGAUGCGCCGGAGCCGAAGCGAAAGCGAGUCUGAAUAGGGCAAUUCAGUCGCGUGGCGUAGACCCGAAACCGUGUGAGCUACCCUUGGCCAGGUUGAAGCGAAAGUAAUAUUUCGUGGAGGACCGAACCCUUGUAAGUUACAAAUUGCUGGGAUGAGCUGAGGGUAGGGGUAAAAUGCCAAUCGAACACGGAGAUAGCUGGUUCUCCCCGAAAUGCAUUUAGGUGCAGCGUCAAGUUUUACUUUGCGGAGGUAGAUCACUGGAUGGGCUAGGGGGCGUGAGCUUACCAACCCCAACCAAAAUCCGAAUACCGUAAAGGGUAUCUUGGCAGUGAGACAGUGAAGGAUAAGCUCCAUUGUCGAAAGGGAAACAGCCCAGAUCGCAAUCUAAGGUCCCGAAGUGUGUGCUAAGUGUGAAACGAAGUGGGAACGCCCAGACAGCCAGGAGGUUGGCUUAGAAGCAGCCAUCCUUUAAAGAGUUCGUAACAGAUCACUGGUCAAGGGUUUCCGCACGGAAAAUAAACGGGGCUUAAGCACACCACCGAAGCUGCGGAUCUAUUCCAUUUAUUUGGAGUGGGUGGUAGGGGAGCGUUCUCAAUGCGCCGAAGUCAGGCUGUAAGGCCUGGUGGAGCGUUGAGAAGUGAGUAUGUUGGCAUAAGUAGCGACAAUGUCGGUGAGAAUCCGACACGCCGAAAGUCUAAGGUUUCCUACGCAACGCUGAUCGACGUAGGGUUAGGCGGGCCUAAGGUGUAGCCGAAGGCGAAGCCGAUGGACAGCAGGUCAAAAUUCCUGCCCCGUCUUAAACUUGUUUGAACUAUGGAGGGGACGCGGACUGAUAAGUAACGCAUGCCUAUUGGAUAUGGUGUGUGCAUUUCUGUAAGUGAGUGACGGGAGGUAAAAAGCUCGUCAUGUUUGACCCGAGGGACGUGCGAACCAUGAGGUUAUCCUCAGGGGAACGUUGCCGAUUCUAUGCCGCCUAGAAAAGCCUCGAUAAUUAGAGUUUAAGUCGUCCGUACCGCAAACCGACACUGGUAGACAGGGAUAAAUGUCCCAAGGCGUUCGAGACAACCAUCGUUAAGGAACUCGGCAAAUUAACCCCGUAACUUCGGAAGAAGGGGAGCCUCUGAUGUACUAGGACUUGCUCCGAAAGCAUUGGUGGCCGCAGAGAAUAGGUUCGAGCGACUGUUUAUCAAAAACACAGGUCCGUGCUAAACCGAAAGGUGAUGUAUACGGGCUGACGCCUGCCCAGUGCCGGUAGGUUAAGGGAGGAGGUGAGAGCUUCCGACCGAAGCCCCGGUGAACGGCGGCCGUAACUAUAACGGUCCUAAGGUAGCGAAGUCCCUUGUCGGGUAAGUUCCGACCCGCACGAAUGGCGUAACGACUUGAACACUGUCUCAACGAUGGACUCGGUGAAAUUGCAGGACCCGUAAAGAUGCGGGUUACGCGCAGCAGGACAAAAAGACCCCGUGGAGCUUUACUGCAGCUUGACAUUGGUUCGAGCUUUAACCUGUGUAGGAUAGGCGGGAGACUAUGAAUUAGAUGCGCCAGCAUUUAAGGAGUCGCCCUUGAAAUACCGCCCUGAUUACAGUUUGAAUCUAACUUUUACUAGAACAGUGUCUGGUGGGCAGUUUGACUGGGGCGGUCGCCUCCCAAAGAGUAACGGAGGCGCACAAAGGUCACCUCAGGCUGGAUGGAAAUCAGCCUUAGAGCGUAUUGGUAUAAGGUGGCUUGACUGCGAGACAUACAAGUCGAGCAGGGACGAAAGUCGGUCAAAGUGAUCCCACGGUACCGUGUGGAAAGGGGGCCGUGGCUUAACGGAUAAAAGCUACCCCGGGGAUAACAGGCUUAUCUCGCCCAAGAGUCCGUAUCGACGGCGAGGUUUGGCACCUCGAUGUCGGCUCGUCGCAUCCUGGGGCUGAAGAAGGUCCCAAGGGUCGGGCUGUCCGCCCUUUUAAAGCGGCACGGGGAGCUGGGUUCAGAGCGUCGUGAGACAGCUCGGUCUCUAUCCGCUGUGCGCGAAAGAUAUUUGAGGGGAUCUAUUUCUAGUACGAGAGGACCGAAAUGGACGAAUCUCUGGUGUGCCGGUUGGGGACGCCAGUCGCAUUGCCGGGUAGCUACAUUCGGAAGGGAUAAACGCUGAAAGCAUCUAAGUGUGAAGCCCACCCCAAGAUUAGAUAUCUCAUCUUGUUAAGAGAGUAAGACCUCCGGUAGACCACCGGUUAGAUAGGCCACGUGUGUAAGCGCAGUAAUGUGUUGAGCUAAGUGGUACUAAUUGGUCGAGGGCUUGAC
This 2971-nucleotide ribosomal RNA is filed under the name Dehalococcoidia bacterium. Its description in RNAcentral is "23S ribosomal RNA". It matches the Rfam family "Bacterial large subunit ribosomal RNA". Lineage: Bacteria; Bacillati; Chloroflexota; Dehalococcoidia. The record is from RNAcentral.